Magnolia sinica is the source of this 717-nucleotide long non-coding RNA. RefSeq lists it as uncharacterized. Lineage: Eukaryota; Viridiplantae; Streptophyta; Magnoliopsida; Magnoliales; Magnoliaceae. The transcript is spliced from 3 exons. The record is from RefSeq and is a predicted model, not a curated record.
AUAUCAUGAUCCUGGUAUGAGCACUGCAUGAAUAAUGUUGUGUUCAGUUCAUUGCUAUCUGAAUCUGGGUUCCGUUUCUCAUGAAACCAAAAAUGGCAAAAAACAAAAAAGAAAAGAAAAGAAAAAGAUAUGGCACCAAUCUCUGCAUCAGUGUUUGUAAACGAAUCUGUCAUAGCCUAUAAACUUGAAAUUCUAUGGAAUGUGUAGCUACCUGAUUGAGAACUUAUCACUAAUGAUGGCUUAUAUAUAUUUGCAGCAAAACCAAGGACGUUUGUUGGAUCGGUUUUCAGCCAAAUGCUUUCAGGUUAGAAAGAAGUGUCUAUGGCCCUCAGACCUGAGAAUAUGUUUUUAUACGUGGGGCAGGCCCGUGGUGUAGUGAUCUAGACUGUUGAUCUGAUGGCCCAUUUUGGAAUUGGGAAUUUCCAAAAAAUCUCACUGAUAUGACAAUCCUAACUGAUUGGGAAGAAGAAACAACAACAGCUUCAAGAUGUGCCGAGAUCUCCAAGCCCGACUGGCUGCUGCAGAGGCAGAAAGGGUAGCAGCUGAACAGGAGAAGCGUGAAAAGGAGGAAUCUUUUUCUUUUUUCUUUUGCUGAACAAGAACUCAUCAUGGAAAGGGUGGUCCAAGAGUCAAAGAAACUUCAGCAGGAAGCAGAGGAGAAUGCGAAGCUACGGGAGUUCUUAAUGGACCGUGGUCAUGUUGUCAAUGUAUUGCAGU